ACAUACGGCCAUAGAUGGAAGAAUACACGGGAUCCCGUCUGCUCUCCCAUAGUUAACCUUUCAAUCGCCUAGCUAGUACUGCGGUGGGUGACCACGCAGGAAUCCUUGGUGCUGUAUGU
This 119-nucleotide ribosomal RNA is filed under the name Ascobolus immersus. Lineage: Eukaryota; Fungi; Ascomycota; Pezizomycetes; Pezizales; Ascobolaceae. The record is from RNAcentral.